UACGUAGGGUGCGAGCGUUAAUCGGAAUUACUGGGCGUAAAGCGUGCGUAGGCGGUCCCGCAAGUCCGCUGUGAAAGCCCCGGGCUCAACCUGGGAAUGGCAGUGGAAACUAUGGGACUUGAAUCUGGCAGAGGGGGGUGGAAUGCCACGUGUAGCAGUGAAAUGCGUAGAGAUGUGGCGGAACACCGAUGGCGAAGGCAAUCCCCUGGGCCUGCACUGACGCUCAUGCACGAAAGCGUGGGGAGCAAACAGG
This 253-nucleotide ribosomal RNA is filed under the name uncultured prokaryote. RNAcentral describes it as "partial 16S ribosomal RNA". It matches the Rfam family "Bacterial small subunit ribosomal RNA", at positions 524 to 776 of the family's 1533-position model. The record is from RNAcentral.